GGGGAGGCCUUGCGCCCCCGGGCCCGCGCCCGCCGAAGACCCCAACAGAACGCUGUUCUGAAAGUAUGCAGUCUGAGUUGAUUAUCGUAAUCAGUUAAAACUUUCAACAACGGAUCUCUUGGUUCCGGCAUCGAUGAAGAACGCAGCGAAAUGCGAUAAGUAAUGUGAAUUGCAGAAUUCAGUGAAUCAUCGAGUCUUUGAACGCACAUUGCGCCCCCUGGUAUUCCGGGGGGCAUGCCUGUCCGAGCGCAGCGCCCUCAAGCACGGCUUGUGUGUUGGGCCCCCGUCCCCCUCUCCCGGGGGACGGGCCCGAAAGGCAGCGGCGGCACCGCGUCCGGUCCUCGAGCGUAUGGGGCUUUGUCACCUGCUCUGUAGGCCCGGCCGGCGCCAGCCGACACCCAACUUUAUUUUUCUAAGGUUGACCUCGGAUCAGGUAGGGAUACCCGCUGAACUUAAGCAUAUCAAUAAGCGGAGGAA
RNAcentral lists this ribosomal RNA (477 nucleotides) under Eurotiales sp. AP-2012. RNAcentral's name for it is "eukaryotic LSU rRNA". The stretch from base 99 to 252 matches the Rfam family "5.8S ribosomal RNA". Lineage: Eukaryota; Fungi; Ascomycota; Eurotiomycetes; Eurotiales. The record is from RNAcentral.